Molecule: ribosomal RNA, 327 nt
Filed under: Balgus eschscholtzi
Lineage: Eukaryota; Metazoa; Arthropoda; Insecta; Coleoptera; Elateridae
Description: partial 16S ribosomal RNA
Source: RNAcentral
GGUAUUUUGACCGUGCGAAGGUAGCAUAAUAAUUAGUUCUUUUAUUGGGAGCUGGAAAGAAUGAUUGGACGAGAAAGCGGCUGUCUCUACCUUAUUUGUUUUUGAAUUUUACUUUUAGGUAAAAAGGCCUAAAUUUUUAUUAAAGACGAGAAGACCCUAUAGAGUUUAAUAUUCACGGGGGUGAGAGGUUUCUGGAAUUUGUUUCUUUCAUCUUUUUGUUUGUUUGGUUGGGGUGACUAGAAAAUUGUUAAUACUCUUCUAAUGUUUUGUUACUGAUAUGUAAAUUUUUAUUCUGGAUUUUUCAAGUUUAAAUAAAAUUACCUAAGG